GCGGUGGUAGCAUAGUGGUUAAGGAGCUGGGCUAGCAUGCAAAAGUUGUGGGUUCAAUUCCCAGCUUCCACC
RNAcentral lists this transfer RNA (72 nucleotides) under Alosa alosa (allis shad). Its description in RNAcentral is "tRNA-OTHER". Lineage: Eukaryota; Metazoa; Chordata; Actinopteri; Clupeiformes; Clupeidae. The record is from RNAcentral.